AACGAACGCUGGCGGCAUGCCUAACACAUGCAAGUCGAACGAGACCUUCGGGUCUAGUGGCGCACGGGUGCGUAACGCGUGGGAAUCUGCCCUUCGGUUGGGAAUAACUGAGAGAAAUUUCAGCUAAUACCUUAUAAUGUCUUCGGACCAAAGAUUUAUCGCCGAGGGAUGAGCCCGCGUAGGAUUAGGUAGUUGGUGGGGUAAUGGCCUACCAAGCCGACGAUCCUUAGCUGGUCUGAGAGGAUGAUCAGCCACACUGGGACUGAGACACGGCCCAGACUCCUACGGGAGGCAGCAGUGGGGAAUAUUGGACAAUGGGCGAAAGCCUGAUCCAGCAAUGCCGCGUGAGUGAUGAAGGCCUUAGGGUUGUAAAGCUCUUUUACCCGGAUGAUAAUGACAGUACCGGGAGAAUAAGCUCCGGCUAACUCCGUG
Molecule: ribosomal RNA, 432 nt
Filed under: uncultured bacterium
Lineage: Bacteria
Description: partial 16S ribosomal RNA
Rfam family: Bacterial small subunit ribosomal RNA
Source: RNAcentral